AAGCAAGUUUUAUUCGCCUGAUUGACAAAGUGACCAACGGCUCUCGGAUUGAAAUAAACCAAACAGGUACUACCUUGUAUUAUCAGCCUGGUCUUCUGUACGGUGGCUCAUUGGAACAUGACUGCAGCCCCAGUCGGAGUAUUGGCUACUAUUUGGAAAGUCUGCUCUGCUUGGCACCUUUCAUGAAACAUCCGUUGAAGAUUGUCCUGAGGGGAGUAACAAAUGAUCAAGUAGAUCCUUCAGUUGAUGUCCUUAAGGUAACAGCUCUACCCCUACUGAAGAAGUUUGGAGUGGAUGGUGAAAGUCUGGAAAUCAAGAUCAACCGGAGAGGAAUGCCUCCCAAAGGGGGUGGAGAGAUACUGUUUGCUUGCCCAGUGAGAAGGGUCUUGCAGCCUAUUCAUUUCACAGACCCGGGCAAAAUCAAGCGCAUCAGAGGAACUGCAUACUCUGUCAGAGUGUCACCACAGAUGGCAAACAGAAUGGUGGAAUCUGCAAGGAGCAUCCUGAAUAAAUUCCUCCCAGACAUUUAUAUCUACACAGAUCAUAUGAAGGGGGUCAGCUCUGGAAAAUCACCAGGUUUUGGCAUGUGCCUUACAGCAGAAACCAUCAAUGGCACUAUUCUCAGUGCUGAGCUAGCCUCAAACCCUCAGGGCCAGGGAGCAGCCGUGCUUCCCGAGGAACUUGGCCAGAAUUGUGCUAAGCUGUUGCUUGAGGAGGUCUACAGGGGAGGCUGUGUAGAUUCAACAAAUCAGAGCCUUGCUCUGCUGCUCAUGACCCUUGGACAACGGGAUGUUUCCAAAGUCCUGUUAGGACCUCUGUCUCCAUACACAAUUGAGUUUCUGCGGCACCUGAGAAGCUUCUUCCAGAUCAUGUUUAAAAUUGAAACAAAGACCCCUGAGGAAGAGCACAUGGGCGGGGAGAAAGUCUUAAUGACGUGUGUUGGCACUGGAUUUUCCAACCUUAGCAAAACUAUAAGAUAAGAAACAUCUACACACUUCAUGAAAUGGGCUAUCCCUCAUCAAUUUAGGUAAUCCCUUUGGGUGAACAACUCUAAUAAUACCCUUCUGCUGUGAUUGGAAACUUUUGCUUACAGAAGGCUUUAAGGAUGGACCAUAAGGGGGUACAGGUAAUAUUAUGAGUCAAAUGGAUUUUGUUUCAAGCCACGGAGGCAUAAUUCUGCUGCUUGCAAGCUCUUACAUUCACUCCCCCAUUUUUCAAUCAUGCUCUUAAGACAGCAACAGGAGUAAAAAAGAUGAAAAGUACCAGCCUUCAGGAGGCAUAAUUUUGCCUAUGGGUUUCUUUCUCAUUUAUUGAUAGUGUAUGGCCAUCUCUACACUUUUAUUUUGUAUGCAUGAUAAAAGCAUUUCUAUUUAGUCUGGAUCCUAGGGGAUACCAAGUACGACACGCAACUGUGUCAGGACAGCUCUAAAUAAAAGAAGAAAGUGGAAGGGGCAUCUUUUACAGUUACUGCUUAGGUCUUGGUAAGCUCUAUCUUAAGAUCAUUCUUGCUGGCAUAUGUACAGUUCUCCUUGUGUCUGAUCUAGGAGCAGAAUUAACAAGCUCUGAAAAACACCUAUUACCUGUUAUCAAUGGGAGGUGUAAAAAGACAGAACAUCCUCAAGGGAAGAGUGUGUGGGUUGAACUCUGCAGUGACAGCAUUGUAUGUGUAAUCCCAGUAAGUCAUGCACUGCGUCAGAGCACCACAAUGUCCAAAUAGCACUUCUGCUAAAUAAAGUUGUGACAUUGAUAUAAGACAGGUUUGUUGGGAUGAUUUGUGGUAGUUCUAUAGCAGUAGAUAUUAAGUAUGAGUGCUAAUCUCUCUCCUGGAACAAUAAGAUUAUUAUAUAUACACACCAUUAUUAUAUAUGUACAAGCGCUCAGAACUAUAUUGCCUGUGUACUACAGAGUGUAGAAACAACUGUGUUUGUGGAAGCAGCAAUAAGGAGACCCACAGAGAAAAUGUUUUAUUGUAAACUGAUACUGAUGAAGGAUAUAACCACAAUGGCCAAAAGCAACUCUACAUCAGGGUGAACGGUGGUUGGGAGCUACAGAAGUGGCCAGUUCCCUGCUACUGGUGGCAGCCCCUCUCUGCACAGCUGUGCAUCUGUUCUGGGGGGGCCCUUUGGGCACACCAAGGGUAGAGUAGUGUCUUUAUACAUUUGCCCUCAUGCUGUAUGUCUGCCUGAUUGUCCACACUCACCCUGCUAUUCCCUGUAUUGGUUUGGCUGCACUUCCCUGGCAGCCUCCGCUAUGCUGUUCACACAACAAACAUCAAUACUUCUUUAACAGUGAACUCCCAUGGUGAAAAUCUGUACAGUCCAUGCAGAGACUGAUACACAUGAGGUACCCAGUGCUUAACUGGAUGAGCUAGUAGGAUUAAGGGCUUGAUUUCAGUGAUCAUAACUGCGUGUCAGUGACACAUUCCCUUAUACAAGAUGUGACAGGCUCAGUAAGGCACCCAUUUGCAGGCUGCAUCACAGGCACACCAUUUGAGAACAAAUGUCUUUCUUCUUACCUUACUUCUAACCUGCAACCACCCUGCUCCUUGAAAGUUACUUAAACCUUUUCCAAUCCUAACCUGUCUCCAUGGAUAAGAAGAAAAGUUGCUUUUGUCAGUGAUUAAUGUAGAUAUAUUCUGUGAGGUAAGACUGGAAUGGUCAUCCCUCAGCAUCAUCAGGUCGGACAAUUCCAUGUGUCUGGAAAUGUACUUUUGAUGAGGUAUGAAAUACUAUGCAUCUUCAAGCUGGUUCUAGAUCAAAAUAUUCAUGAGGUUUGAUUGUUCCUUUUUUUUUUUUUUUAACUUCACCAAAAUGAAAAAAAAAGGAAGAAAACCCAAAACAUGAUGGCUUGUU
This is an RNA transcript of Athene cunicularia (burrowing owl), 2852 nucleotides long. It is a transcript of the gene named RNA terminal phosphate cyclase like 1, with no coding region annotated. The transcript has 10 exons. Lineage: Eukaryota; Metazoa; Chordata; Aves; Strigiformes; Strigidae. The record is from RefSeq and is a predicted model, not a curated record.